Molecule: small nuclear RNA, 106 nt
Filed under: Myotis davidii
Lineage: Eukaryota; Metazoa; Chordata; Mammalia; Chiroptera; Vespertilionidae
Source: RNAcentral
CUGCUCACUUCGGCAGCACAUAUACUAAAAUUAGAAUGAUACAGAGAAGAUUAGCAUAACCCCUGCACAAGGUGACAUGCAAAUUCAUGAAGCAUUCCAUAUUUAA